RNAcentral lists this long non-coding RNA (1344 nucleotides) under Homo sapiens (human). RNAcentral's name for it is "HSALNT0079458". The record is from RNAcentral. Lineage: Eukaryota; Metazoa; Chordata; Mammalia; Primates; Hominidae.
UCUGGCUUACGACAGAAACACAGUUGACAAAGUUUCUGUUCUUAAAGGGAGUGCUUUGGGCAACUGCAGAUGGGGAAAGAAAAUUAACGAAGAGCCUUCAUGCAAGGAAAUGACCAUUUUGGUGGUGACAGGCAUGGAUGAAGAACAGCAUGGAGCCUAGAAGAGGAUUCUGAAUGAAAAAUGUCUAGGGAAAGUAGACCCUGAGAGCCCAGCACAGACACAGUGACCCCUGUGAAAUCUGGCUAAGAAUCAAAUUAAAUCCUCAGUGAGGAGAGAUUAAAGGUUAACACCGGAACUGCUCUAUACAUUUUUUAUAUUUUUAGUAGAUAUACAUUUUGAUUGGGUUAACUAUUUGGUUAACUCUAUAUUGUUAGUUGUCAGAGUAUGGAUUCAAUCAGUCUGAACUUAUUUUUGAGCUGUAUAUAAAGCUCUGAGUUAAAAAAAAUUUGGAGGCUUUGUUAAAGAAAGAAAGCUGUCCUUCAUGAACCCCACUGCCAACUGCAAUCCAGACUCCAGAGUGGACAGACCACCCUAGAGAGUGGUAAAACCAGGUAAGCAGCACCUCUUCAGGAACAGGGAUGUGAGGAGGUUUAUUCCUGCCUGCUCAUACUUGUUUUACUUCAUGCUUAUAAGAAUUGAGGUUAAUGAACGUGACAGCUUCUGAUUGUACAGUGAGAGGUUGAAGAAAUAAGGAAAAGGACUAAUAGAAGGUUCUUACUUUACCAUCUGCCAUAGUUUGGAUGUUUGUCCGCUCUGGAUCUCAAGUUGAAAUGUGAUCCCCAGUGCUGAAGGUGGGCCUAGAGGGAAGUUUUUGGAGCAUGGGGGAGGAUCCCUCAUGAAUGUCUUGGUGUCCUCCUCACAGUAAUAAGUGAGUUCCUGCAAGAUCUGAUUGUUAAAGAGUCUAGGGUCCCUCCUACUUAUUGCCUCCUUUUGCCAUGUGAUAUUGUUAAAGAGUCUAGGGUCCCUCCUACUUUUUGCCUCCUUUUGCCAUGUGAUGUUGUUAAAGAGUCUGGGGUCCCUCCUACUUCUUACCUUCUUUUGCCAUGUGACACACCUGCUCCCCCUUCACCUUCCACCAUGAGUGGAAGCUUCCUGAGGCCCUCACCAGAAGCAAUGCUGGUACCAUGCUUGUACAGACUGCUGAACCAGAGCCAAAUAAAACUCUUUUCUUUACAAAUUACCCAGCCUCAGGUAUACGUUUACAGCAAUGCAAAAUGGACUAACAGAACAUUCGUACUGAGGAAUGGGGUGUUGCUGUAAAGACAUAUGAAGAUGUGGAAGCAGCUUUGAAACUGGGUAAUGGGCAGAGGCUGGAAAACUUCUGAGGGCUCAGAAGAAGACAGG